RNAcentral lists this ribosomal RNA (500 nucleotides) under uncultured bacterium. RNAcentral describes it as "partial 16S ribosomal RNA". It matches the Rfam family "Bacterial small subunit ribosomal RNA", at positions 30 to 523 of the family's 1533-position model. The record is from RNAcentral.
AUUGAACGCUGGCGGCAGGCCUAACGCAUGCAAGUCGAGCGGAUGAGAAAAGCUUGCUUUUCGAUUCAGCGGCGGACGGGUGAGUAAUGCCUAGGAAUCUGCCUGUUAGUGGGGGAUAACUCGGGGAAACUCGGGCUAAUACCGCAUACGUCCUACGGGAGAAAGUGGGGGAUCUUCGGACCUCACGCUAACAGAUGAGCCUAGGUCGGAUUAGCUAGUAGGUGAGGUAAUGGCUCACCUAGGCGACGAUCCGUAACUGGUCUGAGAGGAUGAUCAGUCACACUGGAACUGAGACACGGUCCAGACUCCUACGGGAGGCAGCAGUGGGGAAUAUUGGACAAUGGGCGAAAGCCUGAUCCAGCCAUGCCGCGUGUGUGAAGAAGGUCUUCGGAUUGUAAAGCACUUUAAGUUGGGAGGAGGGGCUGUAAGCUAAUAUCUUGCAGUUUUGACGUUACCAACAGAAUAAGCACCGGCUAACUCUGUGCCAGCCGCCGCCGUAA